UACGGGGGGGGCAAGCGUUGUUCGGAAUUACUGGGCGUAAAGGGCUCGUAGGCGGCCAACUAAGUCAGACGUGAAAUCCCUCGGCUUAACCGGGGAACUGCGUCUGAUACUGGAUGGCUUGAGAUUGGGAGAGGGAUGCGGAAUUCCAGGUGUAGCGGUGAAAUGCGUAGAUAUCUGGAGGAACCCCAGAGGCGAAGGCGGCGCCCUGGCUCGCAACUGACGCUCAGACACGACAGCAUGGGGAGCGAACGGG
RNAcentral lists this ribosomal RNA (253 nucleotides) under uncultured bacterium. Its description in RNAcentral is "partial 16S ribosomal RNA". It matches the Rfam family "Bacterial small subunit ribosomal RNA", at positions 524 to 776 of the family's 1533-position model. The record is from RNAcentral.